RNAcentral lists this ribosomal RNA (376 nucleotides) under uncultured Arcobacter sp. Its description in RNAcentral is "bacterial SSU rRNA". It matches the Rfam family "Bacterial small subunit ribosomal RNA", at positions 1008 to 1382 of the family's 1533-position model. Lineage: Bacteria; Pseudomonadati; Campylobacterota; Epsilonproteobacteria; Campylobacterales; Arcobacteraceae. The record is from RNAcentral.
AGGACGCUUCCUUCGGGAAGCGAGCGUACACAGGUGCUGCAUGGCUGUCGUCAGCUCGUGUCGUGAGAUGUUGGGUUAAGUCCCGCAACGAGCGCAACCCUCGUGUUUAGUUGCUAACAGUUCGGCUGAGAACUCUAAACAGACUGCCUACGCAAGUAGGAGGAAGGUGAGGACGACGUCAAGUCAUCAUGGCCCUUACGGCCAGGGCUACACACGUGCUACAAUGGGGUAUACAAAGAGCAGCGAUACGGUGACGUGGAGCAAAUCUAGAAAAUGCCUCUCAGUUCGGAUUGUAGUCUGCAACUCGACUACAUGAAGUUGGAAUCGCUAGUAAUCGUAGAUCAGCAAUGCUACGGUGAAUACGUUCCCGGGUCUU